UACUAGAGUAGCACUCGCAAUAUCAAUAAGCGGAGGAAAAGAAACUAACAAGGAUUCCCCUAGUAACGGCGAGUGAAGCGGGAAGAGCUCAAAUUUGAAAUCUUAAAGGGUUUCCCUUUACGAAUUGUAGUUUAAAGAAGUGUUUUCUGUUGAGGUUUUGGUAAAAGUUCUUUGGAAUAGGACAUCAUAGAGGGUGAGAAUCCCGUAUUUGACCUUUACUUUCAACUUUGUGAUACACUUUCAAAGAGUCGGAUUGUUUGGGAAUGCAGUCCAAAAUGGGUGGUAAAUUUCAUCUAAAGCUAAAUAUUGGCGAGAGACCGAUAGCGAACAAGUACCGUGAGUGAAAGAUGAAAAGAACUUUGAAAAGAGAGUUAAACAGUACGUGAAAUUGUCAAAAGGGAAGCGUUUGACACCAGUGUUGUUUUUCUGAAAAUCAAUUAAAGAACUGUUUAUGCUAAGUUGUUUAGACUUUAUCAGCUAACUGUUUAGUUUUGAGCUUUUCUUUAAUGCACUUUUCAGUUAACAAGUCAACAUCAAUUUCUUUUGCUGUAAAAAAGCUUGAGGAAGGUGGCUUGAGAUUCGUCUUAAGUGUUUAUAGCCUCUUGCCUAUGCAGUCGGAGAGAUUGAGGUCUGCAGCGUAGAUCCUUCGGGGCUAAAUGCAUUUGCGCUAAGUUAUAGCAUUUUAUAGACAACUUGUUGACUAUGAUUUGUCUUGUAGCUUACUCGCUUAUGUUAUUUUACCUACGCUUAGGAUGUUGAGCGCAUGUCUCUCUCUC
This 776-nucleotide ribosomal RNA is filed under the name uncultured Neocallimastigales. RNAcentral's name for it is "partial large subunit ribosomal RNA". It matches the Rfam family "Eukaryotic large subunit ribosomal RNA", at positions 17 to 619 of the family's 3401-position model. Lineage: Eukaryota; Fungi; Neocallimastigomycota; Neocallimastigomycetes; Neocallimastigales. The record is from RNAcentral.